Molecule: non-coding RNA, 94 nt
Organism: Branchiostoma floridae (Florida lancelet)
Lineage: Eukaryota; Metazoa; Chordata; Leptocardii; Amphioxiformes; Branchiostomatidae
Source: Rfam
GUAUGCCUUUGUGUAGAAGGUGUUCAGUGCCAAUGACAUGCCCGUUCGCCAGUGUGUGGAUGGUGUUCAGCACCAGGGACAGGUCCGUAUGCCU